Molecule: ribosomal RNA, 255 nt
Filed under: uncultured bacterium
Lineage: Bacteria
Description: partial 16S ribosomal RNA
Rfam family: Bacterial small subunit ribosomal RNA
Source: RNAcentral
UACAGAGGGUGCGAGCGUUGUUCGGAAUUACUGGGCGUAAAGCGCGCGCAGGCGGUCCUUUAAGUCCACCCGUGAAAUGCCGGAGCUCAACUCCGUGCACGCCGGGGGAUACUGGGGGACUGGAGACAUGUAGAGGCAAGCGGAAUUCCGGGUGUAGCGGUGGAAUGCGUAGAUAUCCGGAAGAACACCUGAGGCGAAGGCGGCUUGCUGGGCAUGAUCUGACGCUGAGGCGCGAAAGCGUGGGGAGCAAACAGG